UCUAUUGUGAAUUACAUGAAAUGUUAUUUUAAGCUGCAUUUUAAACAUGUAGUAAUAAUAGGUCUUUUUGUGUUUUAAAGACAGCUACAACAAAGGCAUCCAUCCAGAAAGACAUGAGCCUUCCAGCCACACCAAGACUCAUAAUCUUGGGAACACAUUUCUCUCUUCCACAAAGUGGAUGGUAAGCAUUGAGGGAAAGGUGGCCUAGGUUUUGGAUGAGCACCUGGGAUUUGCAGGUGCCUUAUCUGUAUUCUUCAGCUUCUUCUACAUUUUCAACAUUGAAUACCAGGACUGCCUGUGCAACACUGGAACUCAUACAACGGUUUUUCUUGAGGAUAAACCCAGAGGAGGGAACAAAAUGCACCGCCAAAACCGGAGUGAGUUGGAAGACAGGGGACGUUGUGAAGAGGAAGACAACAGUAAUCAACAAUAGAGU
Carassius carassius (crucian carp) is the source of this 436-nucleotide long non-coding RNA. RefSeq lists it as uncharacterized. The record is from RefSeq and is a predicted model, not a curated record. The transcript has 3 exons. NCBI's taxonomy places the organism in Eukaryota, Metazoa, Chordata, Actinopteri, Cypriniformes, Cyprinidae.